Long non-coding RNA from Acipenser ruthenus (sterlet), 393 nucleotides. RefSeq lists it as uncharacterized. The transcript is spliced from 3 exons. Lineage: Eukaryota; Metazoa; Chordata; Actinopteri; Acipenseriformes; Acipenseridae. The record is from RefSeq and is a predicted model, not a curated record.
UGUGUGAGACAGCAGGGAGGGGGUUAAAAACCUCCCUGAAGAAAAAAUGGCACCUUUUUGUAUUGUUUAAUUGUAUUGCUUUUCUGUUAAUUAGUUUUUGUUAAUUGUUUUAUUAUGUAUUAUCCCCUGCACCCGGGGGUGAUUAAAAAUUAGAACCGGGUGCAGGGUAUUUAAGACGUGUAGCCAGGCUGCACGAGGCUGCUGAGUAGAAGGAGGCAGAAGGAAGGUGCUCUGCUUCCGAGCAGUCCUAAAAGUUCAGCGUUCUGGGAUUCGAAUGACAACUUGGUCUGGCUUGGCGCCUGCUGCUCCAGCUGGACUCACAGUGUGUGGGGAGAAGUUCAGUCUUCAUGCCUGAAGCCUGUGCGGGACUGGAGAGUCCAUCCUUUCUCUUAG